RNAcentral lists this transfer-messenger RNA (406 nucleotides) under Candidatus Moranbacteria bacterium CG2_30_45_14. It matches the Rfam family "transfer-messenger RNA". Rfam says of the family: Bacterial tmRNA, also known as 10Sa RNA or SsrA, is named for its dual tRNA and mRNA-like properties. Its role is to liberate the mRNA from a stalled ribosome. RNAcentral also lists the same sequence under 2 other names. Lineage: Bacteria; Candidatus Moraniibacteriota. The record is from RNAcentral.
GGGGUUGUUUAGACUCGACAGGGCGUACUUUCAAAAUAUGCAAGCCGAUCUCGAUGGUAUGAUCGUAAAACUCGCCAUCACGAUGAUAAAUGCAAACUUCAUCACAAAGGCAAAGAAUGCAUUCGCGCAAGCAUUUGCUCCUUCUUUCGCUCUUGCUCUCGCCUAAUUUUUAGUGCGUAGCCAUCAGAAUCCCCAUUCUCGAUACGGAAUCUCUGGUGUCAUAUAAUCGAGACGUGACGAAAGUAUUUCUUUUUCUUUACACUUUCCGAUCGUAUUGCAAAAGAAAAAAAUGAAUGAGAAUUUUGUCUGCUUUCUACCUCAUUCAUUUACACAAAGCACUCUAAGCUUGUAGAAUAUUUUGAAGAACCGUUUCUGGACAUGGGUGCAAUUCCCAUCAACUCCACAU